Molecule: ribosomal RNA, 496 nt
Filed under: uncultured bacterium
Lineage: Bacteria
Description: partial 16S ribosomal RNA
Rfam family: Bacterial small subunit ribosomal RNA
Source: RNAcentral
GAUGAACGCUGGCGGCGUGCCUAAUACAUGCAAGUCGAGCGAACGGACGAGAAGCUUGCUUUUCUGAUGUUAGCGGCGGACGGGUGAGUAACACGUGGAUAACCUACCUAUAAGACUGGGAUAACUUCGGGAAACCGGAGCUAAUACCGGAUAAUAUUUUGAACCGCAUGGUUCAAAAGUGAAAGACGGUCUUGCUGUCACUUAUAGAUGGAUCCGCGCUGCAUUAGCUAGUUGGUAAGGUAACGGCUUACCAAGGCAACGAUGCAUAGCCGACCUGAGAGGGUGAUCGGCCACACUGGAACUGAGACACGGUCCAGACUCCUACGGGAGGCAGCAGUAGGGAAUCUUCCGCAAUGGGCGAAAGCCUGACGGAGCAACGCCGCGUGAGUGAUGAAGGUCUUCGGAUCAUAAAACUCUGUUAUUAGGGAAGAACAUAUGUGUAAGUAACUGUGCACAUCUUGACGGUACCUAAUCAGAAAGCCACGGCUAACUACGU